Molecule: ribosomal RNA, 376 nt
Filed under: uncultured bacterium
Lineage: Bacteria
Description: bacterial SSU rRNA
Rfam family: Bacterial small subunit ribosomal RNA
Source: RNAcentral
GACGAACGCUGGCGGCGUGCUUAACACAUGCAAGUCGAGCGGUAAGGCCCUUUCGGGGGUACACGAGCGGCGAACGGGUGAGUAACACGUAACCAAUCUGCCCUGAAGCGGAGGAAAACUGAGGGAAACCUUAGCUAAUCCCCCAUAAUGUGGUGCCUAUCGCAUGAGAACACCAUUAAAGAUUAUCACUUCGGGAAGAGGUUGCGUCUGAUUAGCUAGUUGGCGGGGUAAAGGCCCACCAAGGCAACGAUCAGUAGCUGGUCUGAGAGGAUGAUCAGCCACACUGGGACUGAGAUACGGCCCAGACUCCUACGGGAGGCAGCAGUGAGGAAUAUUGCGCAAUGGGCGAAAGCCUGACGCAGCAACGCCGCGUGUA